GGAAGAUCAGUCAGUGACACUGCUCCAAAAUGUGCAAUGCCUUUUGCAUCAUAAAAUAACCACCUAUUAAACAAAAUUUAAUAUAUUUCUCAAAAGUAGAAUCAAAUCACAACAGCAAUGAAUUUAAAAAAUUUUAGGUCAUUUCGCUCUUUCCAUUUGCCAUUAAUUGAUCUACAAAAAGAAACGUAAUGGCCAAUACCAUUUGGAGUUACUGGUGGAUAUCAGUUAAUUGCGAAGUUAGAUUUUUUGCAUCACAGAGCUGCUCAUUUAUUGAAUACUGUAUUGCAAAAACUGUUACCUGUGAUUAGUCAACGAGGAAGUGACAUACUCAGUGAUGUGUUGAAAUUUGAAUGGAGCACUUUUGGAAGAAAGCUAUCAGUACAAGACAUAAAUAAAAUCGAGGAGAUUAUUAAUUAUACUAAUGAAGAAGAUGUACCAAUCAGAACGAAAACUAUGAAUUUACUGCAAAUGUUAAAUGGAGAUAAUUUGACUAUAAUUCCUGGUGAAGUUUAUCCUGAUAAAGGAAUAAGAAUUGUUGAAUUACAGAGUGACAGCUUAAGUUCAAAGUAAAAUUGCACAAAUUGUUGGAAAAAAACCAAGAGAAAAAAUAUCGCUAAUCUUUAUUUAUUAUAUAUUUGUUUAUUUUUCUGGUUUUUCAACAUCUUACAGAUGGAAUGCAAAUUGUGUAUCCGAUCCUCGAGCAGAGAAGAGAUCUUCAUAUACUGUAAAGGAAAAAAGACUUGUAUUAUAAAGAUGAACUAAUUAGAAGGACAUUUAUAAAACUGGUAGUCCAACAUCUUCGCAAGGUAUCCAAAUAAUAAUCAUCACAUGAAUCAUGAUAAUUAAGCUCUAUUUCCAGUUUUUUGGUGAAUAAUCCAAUUGUACUCCUGUACGCUACACUAUUUUUUGGUAGAAAAAGUUAUGAUAAAUUACAUUCUCUAAUAAAAUUUUUGAAAAUUCGAUUUCUAAA
This is a long non-coding RNA of Phymastichus coffea, 970 nucleotides long. RefSeq lists it as uncharacterized. The transcript has 4 exons. The record is from RefSeq and is a predicted model, not a curated record. Lineage: Eukaryota; Metazoa; Arthropoda; Insecta; Hymenoptera; Eulophidae.